CGUGCGCAGGCGGUUUUGUAAGACAGAUGUGAAAUCCCCGGGCUUAACCUGGGGACUGCGUUUGUGACUGCAAGGCUACAGUACGGCAGAGGGGGGUGGAAUUCCUGGUGUAGCAGUGAAAUGCGUAGAUAUCAGGAGGAACACCGAUGGCGAAGGCAGCCCCCUGGGCCUGUACUGACGCUCAUGCACGAAAGCGUGGGGAGCAAACGGGAUUAGAUACCCUGGUAGUCCACGCCCUAAACGAUGUCGACUAGUCGUUCGGAGCAGCAAUGCACUGAGUGACGCAGCUAACGCGUGAAGUCGACCGCCUGGGGAGUACGGCCGCAAGGUUAAAACUCAAAGGAAUUGACGGGGACCCGCACAAGCGGUGGAUGAUGUGGAUUAAUUCGAUGCAACGCGAAAAACCUUACCUACCCUUGACAUGUCUGGAACCUUGCUGAGAGGCGAGGGUGCCUUCGGGAGCCAGAACACAGGUGCUGCAUGGCUGUCGUCAGCUCGUGUCGUGAGAUGUUGGGUUAAGUCCCGCAACGAGCGCAACCCUUGUCACUAGUUGCCAUCAUUUGGUUGGGCACUCUAGUGAGACUGCCGGUGACAAACCGGAGGAAGGUGGGGAUGACGUCAAGUCCUCAUGGCCCUUAUGGGUAGGGCUUCACACGUCAUACAAUGGUCGGUACAGAGGGUUGCCAAGCCGCGAGGUGGAGCCAAUCCCUUAAAGCCGAUCGUAGUCCGGAUCGUAGUCUGCAACUCGACUACGUGAAGUCGGAAUC
This 767-nucleotide ribosomal RNA is filed under the name uncultured bacterium. RNAcentral's name for it is "bacterial SSU rRNA". It matches the Rfam family "Bacterial small subunit ribosomal RNA", at positions 566 to 1333 of the family's 1533-position model. The record is from RNAcentral.